GAUGAAGAACGUAGCGAAAUGCGAUAAGUAAUGCGAAUUGCAGAAUCCGUGAGUCAUCGAAUCUUUGAACGCACAUUGCGCCCCUUGGUUAUUCCGAAGGGCAUGCCUGUUCGAGCGUCAUUAUCACCCCUCAAGCCCUGGCUUGGUGUUUGACUUUAGUUAUAGCUUUGCCUAUCAACUGGUCUCAAAGAUAGUGACGGCGCCCCAGAGGGAACCGGGUACGAGGAGCUUUUUACUAAGCAUGUAUCUGGGACGACUCUGAUGGGCGACGGUCUUGUUAUACUUUUUACCUAAGUGUUGACCUCGGAUCAGGUAGGAAUACCCGCUGAACUUAAGCAUAUCAAUAAGCGGAGGA
Molecule: unclassified non-coding RNA, 355 nt
Filed under: soil metagenome
Description: partial contains 5.8S ribosomal RNA, internal transcribed spacer 2, and large subunit ribosomal RNA
Rfam family: 5.8S ribosomal RNA (bases 1-120)
Source: RNAcentral